Populus trichocarpa (black cottonwood) is the source of this 1335-nucleotide long non-coding RNA. RefSeq lists it as uncharacterized. The record is from RefSeq and is a predicted model, not a curated record. NCBI's taxonomy places the organism in Eukaryota, Viridiplantae, Streptophyta, Magnoliopsida, Malpighiales, Salicaceae. The transcript is spliced from 2 exons.
UUUUUUUAUUGCAACUGUCCUCCACGCACUGUCGGCCACCAACCAAAAUUGUUUUUUCUUAGUAGCCACCACCAGUGUCGUCCUCCACUAGUAGCCAUUAACAUCAACAACCACAAGUCGACAUCCAGUGCACAAAAAAACCACCUUAAAGCUUCGACUACCAACCUCUCCUCACAGCAAAGCAUCGACCGACAGCCUCUCUUCCCAGCAGCCACAUCCAUUGCUGUCAGGUCUUCCUCUAUCCAGUAACAGUCUUUUAUAAAAAAAAAAAAAAAAAACGACCAGCCUCCUCUCGCUUUCACAUGACCAAAGAACCUGAAUCAUUCAGCCCACAAACAGCAACCCAACACAAACCCAAACCUUUCUCUCACCAAAACCUCCCAAUGACAACCAUAAAAGCUUGUUCUUAGAAAAACAAUCUUCCAGUAAGCAGUAGCUAGCUAGGAGUGUAGCAGUCCCAGGUACAGGAAUAUGGUCGACUGGUGGUUUGUUGUUCUGACCCUCCAGGUACUGCCUGAUAUCGCGUCAGAUGGCAUGCAGCUUAUAUGUUCCAAACCAAAUACCGUUGAUUUGUUUGAAGAAGAUCCAUGUUCAUAGAAUUUGAUUUCAUAGAAACAAAACCAAAUCUCCAGUUUCUUCAAUUAUUUCUAUGGGCUAUAAACUGGUUAGUCACCUCUCCAUACUUAAUAAAUGUUUCUCUCAAAUUCUGAUAAUCCAACCAAGAUUAAUGAAAUCGCUCAAAAUAUAGGUGAAUCACAGGUUUUAAGGCUAUAGUUGGCAGCGGCAUGGUAGGCUGGGUUAGGUUUUGAUGGUGGUUAUACAUUGUUGGAUUGGUGGUGGGCUGGCUUUGUUCUUGAAUUGAUUCUUUUUUGUUUAGAAAAGGGGUUGGCAAACGAGGUGCUUGCAGGUAGUGAGCAUGGGGGUUGAGGUUAAGGUGUGUUUAGGGUUUUGGGAUGAUUUGGAUUAUGGGAGAAGGUGAGGAGUCAUGGUUUGUCGGAGAUGUGAGCGGUCAUGGUUUCGUUGAAGUUAUCUUUUAAAAUCAUGCAUGGCCGAGUCUUUUUUUUAUAUUAUUUUUUAAUAAAAAAGUCAUGGCUGCAUAUCUUAGUAUUGUUAAAAAAAAAAAAAAAAAACGUUUAUUUUUCUUUUCACAACAAAAAUCCAAAAAAUAUUUAAGCAUAUUUUAUUUUUAUAUAUAUAUAUAUAUUUUUUGGCAUUACAAUAAAAAAUAAAAGAAAUAUUUUGCAUGCAUGUUACGCAUGUAUUAGAAUUUGGUCAAAAUUAAAAGGCACAUUAAUAAAUUUAUCUAAAUUUCAAAAAAGAAAAGAAAAAGAAAAA